CCUACGGGAGGCUGCAGUGGGGAAUAUUGCACAAUGGGGGAAACCCUGAUGCAGCAACGCCGCGUGAGUGAUGAAGGUUUUCUGAUCUUAAACUUCUAUCAUCAUUUAAUAAUAAAUUUACAGUACCUUACUAAUAAGCCCCUGCUAACUACUUUCCAGCAUCCGCGUUAAUACUUAGGGGUCAAUCGUUAUCCGUAAUCACUGGGUGUAAAGGGUGCGUAGGCGGUAGGGCAAGGCAGAUGUGAAAGCCCGGGGAUCCACACCGGGAUUGCAUUGGAAAAUGUCUUACUAGAGUGCAGGAGAGGAAAGAGGAAUUGAUAGUGUAGAGGUGAAAUGAGUAGAUAUUAGGAAGAAAACAAGUGGAGAAGGAGGAUUUAUGGAAUGUAAAUGAAGCUGAGGAACGAAAGAGUGGGGAGAGAAAAGGAUUAGAUAACAUGGUAGUC
Molecule: ribosomal RNA, 443 nt
Filed under: uncultured bacterium
Lineage: Bacteria
Description: bacterial SSU rRNA
Rfam family: Bacterial small subunit ribosomal RNA
Source: RNAcentral